CUCGAUGACCGCAACUUGAGAGAUGGAUUUACGGACUACGUCUAAUAUAGUUCUGGAUAUAAGACUGAUUAAUGACAAUUUUAUAUCAAAAGUCUUGACCAAAUUACGUGCCAGCAGUCGCGGUAAUACGUAGAAGACAAGUGUUAGUCAUCUUUAAUAGGUUUAAAGGGUACCUAGACGGCAUUAUUAACCCGAAACGGAAAUAGUUUUGCUAGAGUUUGAUACGAGAAGGGGAGUAUUUAGGGAGUAGAGAUGAAAUUCUUUGAUACCUUAAGGACUGGUUAGGGCGAAAGCGGCCUUUUAUGUAAAAACUGACGUUGAGGGACGGAGGCUUAGAUAGCGAACAGGAUUAGAUACCCUAGUAGUCUUUGCAGAGAAUUAUGAAUGUCAUAGAUUAGAUUUAUUUUGGUUUAUAAAUGAAAGUGUAAGCAUUCCACCUCAUGAGUAAUGUGGCAACGCAGGAACUGAAAUCAUUAGACCGUUUCUGAGAACAGUAGUGAAGUAUGUUAUUUAAUGAAAAAACCCCAAAA
This 530-nucleotide ribosomal RNA is filed under the name Terriera ilicis. RNAcentral describes it as "SSU rRNA". It matches the Rfam family "Bacterial small subunit ribosomal RNA", at positions 382 to 967 of the family's 1533-position model. The record is from RNAcentral. Lineage: Eukaryota; Fungi; Ascomycota; Leotiomycetes; Rhytismatales; Rhytismataceae.